Molecule: ribosomal RNA, 1371 nt
Filed under: uncultured bacterium
Lineage: Bacteria
Description: bacterial SSU rRNA
Rfam family: Bacterial small subunit ribosomal RNA
Source: RNAcentral
GAUGAACGCUGGCGGCGUGCCUAAUACAUGCAAGUCGAGCGAACGGACAAGGAGCUUGCUCCUUUGAAGUUAGCGGCGGACGGGUGAGUAACACGUGGGUAACCUACCUAUAAGACUGGAAUAACUCCGGGAAACCGGGGCUAAUGCCGGAUAACAUGUUGAACCGCAUGGUUCAACAGUGAAAGACGGUCUUGCUGUCACUUAUAGAUGGACCCGCGCCGUAUUAGCUAGUUGGUGGGGUAACGGCCUACCAAGGCGACGAUACGUAGCCGACCUGAGAGGGUGAUCGGCCACACUGGAACUGAGACACGGUCCAGACUCCUACGGGAGGCAGCAGUAGGGAAUCUUCCGCAAUGGGCGAAAGCCUGACGGAGCAACGCCGCGUGAGUGAUGAAGGUCUUCGGAUCGUAAAGCUCUGUUGUUAGGGAAGAACAAAUGUGUAAGUAACUGUGCACGUCUUGACGGUACCUAACCAGAAAGCCACGGCUAACUACGUGCCAGCAGCCGCGGUAAUACGUAGGUGGCAAGCGUUAUCCGGAAUUAUUGGGCGUAAAGCGCGCGUAGGCGGUUUUUUAGUCUGAUGUGAAAGCCCACGGCUCAACCGUGGAGGGUCAUUGGAAACUGGAAAACUUGAGUGCAGAAGAGGAAAGUGGAAUUCCAUGUGUAGCGGUGAAAUGCGCAGAGAUAUGGAGGAACACCAGUGGCGAAGGCGGCUUUCUGGUCUGCAACUGACGCUGAUGUGCGAAAGCGUGGGGAUCAAACAGGAUUAGAUACCCUGGUAGUCCACGCCGUAAACGAUGAGUGCUAAGUGUUAGGGGGUUUCCGCCCCUUAGUGCUGCAGCUAACGCAUUAAGCACUCCGCCUGGGGAGUACGGUCGCAAGACUGAAACUCAAAGGAAUUGACGGGGACCCGCACAAGCGGUGGAGCAUGUGGUUUAAUUCGAAGCAACGCGAAGAACCUUACCAAAUCUUGACAUCCUUUGACCGCUCUAGAGAUAGAGUUUUCCUCUUCGGAGGACAAAGUGACAGGUGGUGCAUGGUUGUCGUCAGCUCGUGUCGUGAGAUGUUGGGUUAAGUCCCGCAACGAGCGCAACCCUUGAGCUUAGUUGCCAUCAUUAAGUUGGGCACUCUAAGUUGACUGCCGGUGACAAACCGGAGGAAGGUGGGGAUGACGUCAAAUCAUCAUGCCCCUUAUGAUUUGGGCUACACACGUGCUACAAUGGACAAUACAAAGGGCAGCGAAACCGCGAGGUCAAGCAAAUCCCAUAAAGUUGUUCUCAGUUCGGAUUGUAGUCUGCAACUCGACUACAUGAAGCUGGAAUCGCUAGUAAUCGUAGAUCAGCAUGCUACGGUGAAUACGUUCCCGGGUCU